ACAAAAGAACAGACUGACACCAGAGGGUUGGUUUUGUUACCUAAGAAUUUUUUUCUGUUAUGUUUUACUCUUUAAUAUUAUUACAUUUCUAAAUUAUGUAUUUUACUUAACUCAGAAAUCCAUUAUUUUUUCCUUCAUAUCAUGAAUAUUUUAAAAAUAUACCUUAUAAAUUUGCAUCACUUUUUCUCUUGUGGUUUUUGAAGUUAAUAUAUUCUAAACUUGAAGAUAUGGUAUAAAUCAAUAAUAGAAGUAUCACUGGAGUUUAAUUUUGUAUUUUUUAUAUUUAGGUCUAGGUAUUGGGAGUGUGUAAGCCUUGAAAUUUUAAAUUUUUUUCUUAAAUUAGUGCUAUACACGAAUGUUCUCAUUUUCAUAAGGUGAUCAUGUGCUUACUGUUUUUAAAUUUACAUUUUCUGAGGUGGUGAAUAUUUAGGUUCUAAUCAGUGAGCAAGAUAGGGCAUAUAAAAUACACAGGGAGGCUACAGAACUCACAGUAUGAAAUGAUCACAUUUGGGAACUGUAAAGUGUAUGAGAUUUAUAUGUAAUUCACAUUCUAAACGUCGCCAGAAAGGUUGGAUUGGAAGCUUCAUGUCUGCAUGAAAUUUCCUAUAUUUUUAAUGUGUAUAUGGACUUAAUUUUCCUUUAAAUAUUAAAGUCUACCAAUUGCUAUAACA
RNAcentral lists this long non-coding RNA (671 nucleotides) under Rattus norvegicus (Norway rat). RNAcentral describes it as "long non-coding RNA NONRATT003615". The record is from RNAcentral. Lineage: Eukaryota; Metazoa; Chordata; Mammalia; Rodentia; Muridae.